Molecule: ribosomal RNA, 312 nt
Filed under: Triticum aestivum (bread wheat)
Lineage: Eukaryota; Viridiplantae; Streptophyta; Magnoliopsida; Poales; Poaceae
Description: partial small subunit ribosomal RNA
Source: RNAcentral
AUGCGACGCGGGCUCAGAUCCAGCACGCCCACAACACUCUUUUUGCUGGAGGACGCCAUGGAAAAGGUGCUCUGGCCCUGGUACUGCAGCCAUGGAGAGGUGCCCUCCCAUCUUUAUGUGCGUGUUUGUUGGAUGGUGAGAAAAGAUAACUGGAUCAAGAGCUACUUCGAUGCCAUCCUCGACAUCGGCAAGUCAGCCGACGGUGGCGUACAGGACCAAGGAGAGGAGCAGCGGGCCAGGAGGUCUGACCCUCCCCUAUGCCCCCAUGGCCAUGGUGUGUACUGGGCAUUCUACUUUGUUAUUCCUCUUUAA